UGGGGAAUCUUGCACAAUGGGGGAAACCCUGAUGCAGCGACGCCGCGUGAACGAUGAAGCCCUUCGGGGUGUAAAGUUCUUUCGACAGGAACGAUAAUGACGGUACCUGGAGAAGAAGCUGCGGCUAACUACGUGCCAGCAGCCGCGGUAAUACGUAGGCAGCGAGCGUUGUUCGGAGUUACUGGGCGUAAAGGGUGUGUAGGCGGUUCUCUAAGUUUGGUGUGAAAUCUCCCGGCUUAACCGGGGGGGUGCGCCGAAAACUGGGGAGCUAGAGUGCGGGAAGGGAGAGUGGAAUUCCUGGUGUAGCGGUGAAAUGCGUAGAUAUCAGGAGGAACACCGGUGGUGCAGACGGCUCUCUGGACCGUAACUGACGCUGAGACACGAAAGCGUGGGUAGCAAACA
Molecule: ribosomal RNA, 402 nt
Filed under: uncultured bacterium
Lineage: Bacteria
Description: bacterial SSU rRNA
Rfam family: Bacterial small subunit ribosomal RNA
Source: RNAcentral